This 74-nucleotide transfer RNA is filed under the name Candidatus Dojkabacteria bacterium. RNAcentral describes it as "tRNA-Ile". It matches the Rfam family "tRNA". From Rfam's summary of the family: Transfer RNA (tRNA) molecules are approximately 80 nucleotides in length. Their secondary structure includes four short double-helical elements and three loops (D, anti-codon, and T loops). The record is from RNAcentral.
GGGAUCCUAGCUCAAUUGGUUGGAGCCACGGACUCAUAAUCCGUAGGUUGUGGGUUCGAAUCCCACGGGUCCCA